This 1322-nucleotide long non-coding RNA is filed under the name Pogona vitticeps (central bearded dragon). RNAcentral describes it as "lncRNA (ENSPVIG00000025003.1)". Lineage: Eukaryota; Metazoa; Chordata; Lepidosauria; Squamata; Agamidae. The record is from RNAcentral.
UGAUCCCUCUACUCAUUUUUAUCCCCACAAUAAUUCUGUUGGGAAAGUUUGUCUGGGAGACCAUAAUGGGCUCCCUGACUGUGGGACUAUGACUUUAUAGAACAGGACACUCUCUGUAUUUUGUGGAUUAUAGUUCCCAUCAGCCCCAGCCAGCACAAUCCAAUGAGUAGGCUGGUGGGAGUUGUAUUCUACAACUUGUGGAGGGUGAUCCUUUGGAUAAGGCUGGAUUAUAGCAAGGAACUGUCUGCAAAGCAUUUCUGUUAAUGCCACCAGAUGUCACUUAUUUUUAAAUGACUUGGUGUUUAUUAAAGGUUUUGUGUUCCUUCAGUACAGAUGAAGAUUCAGUACAAAUCAAGUGUCGUGAACAGGCUGCUGUCCCCUUUUAUUCAGGAUGGUACACUUCUGCAGAAUACAAAUUUCAUCUGUUUCUGGAAAUCCUCCGGUCACCUUGUCCAUAGAAGAUCUGAGAGACAAGACCCUAGCGCUGCCGUGCCCUGCUGAAGCCAAGAGAAGCAGCAGUCCACAAAACACAGCAGGACCACAGGAAAGUGGGCACAGCAGACACAACCCUUUCCAGCCCUUUGCAGUUCUCAUUUUUGACUCAGUCAAAAGACAUGAGCAAUGGGCAGAAACACAAGUGAGAUCUCAGGACGGAGUCCUGGAAGAGGAUGGCUCUGCAGCAACAGCAGAAGCAACAGUCUUCUUGGCAGUGCCCAGGCAGCGGGUCGCACAAACGCAGUUCCACAUGGCAUGCAGCCCAGUGGUUCCUUUAGGGGGUGCAACCAGGCUGGAAAGUUUGCUGCUACACUUUGUGUGAUGCCAAGUGCUUCCUGUCGCGUCCAGGCUUCCUACAGAGCUCAACGCCCCACCACCACCACGCCACAUACACAACUGCUGCUCAAGCUCCUUGCUUCCACAGAACACAUCCUGUGCCCGGUCCUAUGACGAUGCCACCUGGCAGAUCAAGUCCACCACCUCCGCCAAGCCCAGCGACAUCCUCUGCCUCCCCUGCUAGCCCCCACAUUCUCCUGUGCCCUCUUCCCCUCCCCAUGAAUCUUGUGCCCCCCACUGGGCGCCGCAAUCCCAGUCAAGCCUCUCCCAGCCUCCCUCUUUGGGAGCCAGUACACUUCCCCGCUUCUCGUCGAGGAAAACUUUAAGAACCGAGGAGCACAAGGAAAGAGACGCUGCUGUCGGAAGAGACCGCGACCGCCGCCGCCGCCGCCGCCGCCGCCGCCGCGCGUGAAAGACACCGCUCUGACUCACCGUUGGGAUGAAUGUGGCUGGUGAGGAGGGUGCCAGCCAGCAGGACAUGCCACAGCCCC